UCCGAGUUGUAAUUUGCAGAGGGUGCUUUGGCAUAGGCGGCGGUCUAAGUUCAGUGGAACAGGACAUCGCAGAGGGUGAGAAUCCCGUAUGUGGGCGCCUGCCUUUGCCGUGUAAAGCCCCUUCGACGAGUCGAGUUGUUUGGGAAUGCAGCUCUAAAUGGGAGGUAAAUUUCUUCUAAAGCUAAAUACUGGCCAGAGACCGAUAGCGCACAAGUAGAGUGAUCGAAAGAUGAAAAGUACUUUGGAAAGAGAGUCAAAAAGCACGUGAAAUUGUUGAAAGGGAAGCGCUUGCAGCCAGACUUGCCCGUAGUUGCUCACCCAGGCUUUUGCCCGGGGCACUCUUCUGCGGGCAGGCCAGCAUCAGUUUGGGCGGUUGGAUAAAGGCCUCUGUCACGUAUCUCUCUUCGGGGAGACCUUAUAGGGGAGGCGUAAUGCGACCAGCCCGGACUGAGGUCCGCGCAUCUGCUAUGAUGCUGGCGUAAUGGCUGUAAGCGGCCCGUCUUGAAACACGGACCAAUGAGUCUAACAUCUAUGCGAGUGUUUGGGUGUCAAGCCCGGGCGCGCAAUGAAAGUGAACGGAGGUGUGAACCCCUCGGGGUGCACCAUCGACCGAUCCUGAAGUCUUCGGAUGGAUUUGAGUAAGAGCAUAGCUGUUGGGACCCGAAAGAUGGUGAACUAUGCUUGAAUAGGGUGAAGCCAGAGGAAACUCUGGUGGAGGCUCGCAGCGGUUCUGACGUGCAAAUCGAUCGUCAAAU
Molecule: ribosomal RNA, 755 nt
Filed under: Laburnicola rhizohalophila
Lineage: Eukaryota; Fungi; Ascomycota; Dothideomycetes; Pleosporales; Didymosphaeriaceae
Description: Laburnicola sp. ZY-2019a partial large subunit ribosomal RNA
Rfam family: Eukaryotic large subunit ribosomal RNA
Source: RNAcentral